GCCACGUCCUCCGCGGCCGCGUCCUCGGGCCCGCGGGGAGGCUCGCGGGCAUCCGCGCUGCCACUGAGCCGGCGGAAGCUUGGCGAACUCUUUCCUUCCGAUUCCCCGAAACGAGCAGCGGAACUUGCAGCCUCGGGGCUGUUCUCUGUCAGACAAGGAAAGUACCUUUGAUUCACUUCUGAGUCCUCUCAACACCGUACCAGCUGAGCACAAGGGAAGCCCAGGAAUACUGGGUGCAGGUGGAUUCUUUACCAUCUGAGCCACAGAGGUUUCAUUCCUGCCUUCCUAACAAGUGCCGCCUUUAUAGUCCUGGAGGAAGUAGCUGCUGGAGGAGGAGCCAGAUGAAGGCCUUUUCCCUCUGACCGUAGGUGGGGGUGUCUGUACAGAAGGAAGGGUCACCUGCUCCCCGCUGCCAGUCUCCAUGUGGCUGGAAGAAGAGAUGAAACCUGCAGGAAAAAGGGGAGAAGAUAAGUCCUUGAGGCCUCGAAGAGGAAGGAAAUGGAGCUUCCACUGGUUCCCUAAGGACAGAAAGCUGAAGGCUGGGAGCUGUCCCACAGACAUAGAAGCCAGCAGGGACAAGGCAGCCGGGACGAACUUGGCCACAGAGGACAGGAGGAUGCCGGAACUUCAAGCAGCUCACGAGUCAUGGAAAAAUCUGCUUAGGAGCUAGAGUCAGGAUGCUCAGGGCCAGACCUGGGGAGAAGCCCCCACUCCCCUUGCUCAGCCUGUGUGUGCAGGCAAGAUCCGGUGUGGGCUGGCCUCCCCGCCGGCAGAGGACACAAGCCGUGGGCACCGGGCCGCAGACUCACGUGUCACCUCUCCUUGGCAGAAAAGAACCCCCAUGGACUGUAACUUUCGCCGAAGCCCCUGGAGCAGACACCAGGGGUCAAACCAACCCUCGUUCUCCAGCCCUGUGAGGAGAAAGAAGACUCGUGAAGGGGGCCUAGGACCCUCCUCUCCUGUUGUCUUCCCCACACCCCUUGACUCUUCUUCAGGAAUCGUAAGCUGCGGAAUGUCAUGUUGACCGACUGCACCAGAGCUAGAUCCUAUGAAAGGACAGAGAGUUGGCCUGGCCCGGGGGAGGUCCUGCCAGCCAGGAGGACACCUUCCUUGGCUGCGGGGUGCUGAGACUUCUAACCUGAGGCGCCCCUCAACCUCUGACCCCCUCUCCAAGCAAGGCUCACCGUAUG
Molecule: long non-coding RNA, 1190 nt
Organism: Dama dama (fallow deer)
Lineage: Eukaryota; Metazoa; Chordata; Mammalia; Artiodactyla; Cervidae
Exons: 3
Source: RefSeq, a predicted model, not a curated record